Molecule: small RNA, 28 nt
Filed under: Bombyx mori (domestic silkworm)
Lineage: Eukaryota; Metazoa; Arthropoda; Insecta; Lepidoptera; Bombycidae
Description: ovarian small RNA-19791
Source: RNAcentral
UAAUGGCCACUGAGCCGUCGACGUCCCC